CAGUAGCCGCGGGAAUACGGAGGGUGCAAGCGUUAAUCGGAAUUACUGGGCGUAAAGCGCACGCAGGCGGUCUGUCAAGUCAGAUGUGAAAUCCCCGGGCUUAACCUGGGAACUGCAUUUGAAACUGGCAGGCUAGAGUCUUGUAGAGGGGGGUAGAAUUCCAGGUGUAGCGGUGAAAUGCGUAGAGAUCUGGAGGAAUACCGGUGGCGAAGGCGGCCCACUGGACAAAGACUGACGCUCAGGUGCGAAAGCGUAAGGAGCAAACAGGAUUAGAUACCCCUGUAGUCCCUGUCUCUUAUAC
This 301-nucleotide ribosomal RNA is filed under the name uncultured bacterium. Its description in RNAcentral is "partial 16S ribosomal RNA". It matches the Rfam family "Bacterial small subunit ribosomal RNA", at positions 509 to 812 of the family's 1533-position model. The record is from RNAcentral.